CUUUAGUACGUUUAGAGGCAUUCUGUAAUGCUGAAUGAACAGAAUCCCAAGUGUCUUGGAUAGAAGUCAAACGGGUGUUUAAUGCAGGAAUAUCAGUCCCUGAAAAUGCAGAAGGUAAAAUAGUGGGGUAAUAACCUUGAUUUACAAAAAAUUGACUCUGACUCGAGGAUUCGUGAGUCGCAUUAUUUCUGGCAAAUUCAGCCAUGGGUAAGAGUUCGAACCAAUUGGACUGAUUGGC
Molecule: non-coding RNA, 238 nt
Organism: Pelobates cultripes (western spadefoot toad)
Lineage: Eukaryota; Metazoa; Chordata; Amphibia; Anura; Pelobatidae
Source: the annotation of a GenBank genome assembly